UCAGUAUUGCUUUCUUUACAUCAUAGUCUUGAUUCAGUUUAGUCCUGGCCAGCAGUUGGACUCCAUGAUCCUUGGGGUCCCCUCCAGCAUGGGAUAUUCUACAAUCCUGUGUCACCUGUCUGCCUGACUUCAGCGCUUAGCACCCAGUGGGUGCCCCAGUGUUCACUGGGCUGAGGCAUGUUGGCCUCUGUACCCUGCAUACACUCAGGAUUUUGUUCUUCUCUGGGUUGUUUAUUCAGUACUGAGCUACGUGUGUCUCCACAAGCAGCAGCUCUGUGCCAAGAGGAGGAAGUUAUAGGAGGAAACCAGCAACAAGAGCCUGUUGCUCAAUUAGCUGCGUUGUCAGCAGCGCUUGGCUUACAAAAGCCGCACUUGGGAUUGUACAACCCACACACAUUGCACAAAGCUGGCCUCAGGAGGAGCUGAGGUUUUGCCUAUUGGUUGCUCCUCUGCCAUGUGCUGGCUGUAUAGGUGAUGGGAGAGGUCUGGGGGUCAGAAAAGCAAGGACAAGCUCAGGCAAAUCUUUCCUCCAAGCACAGACAGGGAGGAAAUGUUUUUCACAUUUUUUCUAUCAGGACAUGAGGGAUGAUUCAACAGGACCCCAAGGCUGUGCCCGUGACAAACGUGCUCAGAUGACCAGAGGGAUGCAUUUUCUUGUGAGGUAGUGCCUUCUCUUUUUAUCAGGACCAUGGUAGAGCUAGCUGGAUGCACUUCUGCUCUUUGCAAAAGCUACAGAAGGAUAGAAAAUAGUCAAAUGCAUGUGGAAUGCUGGGAUAAUUUGCCACCUCAUUCCUAUAGAUUUUGCUAAGUUUUGAACCUUCCCAGUGCCUCUGAGAGCCCUGGCUGCCUUCAAGCCCUGACUAAGGCCCUGAAGACCUGGAUGUGAACUGCCUGAAAACCAGUGCCCAGCAUGAUCCUGGCUGUUUUCCCAUGGGAAGGAACAUUGUUGCAGUGAUGCAGGAACUUCCUUCAUCUGCCUGACGCAUCCGCUUCGGGUCAUUAAGAAAGCAUUUCUCAAUCGGGAGCCGAGAGAAGUAGGAAGUCCCAGCCUUGUUUUACAAGAGACUGGCUGUUUGCAGUGUUUCCCAAUCGUUUUGCUCUUCCCUCAGCCUUUGGAAAGGAAUCCUCAAUCCAGGCUGCUGCAGUGGAGCAUGGCGUGUAGGAAACAAGUGUUCCCUGCAUCUUACAGCAUCAUGUGGGGUGUCCCUGGGGCUCCUCCAUUUUUGCUGGAGCUGGGACCUGGAAGAUGCAAGUAAGGCUGCACUGAAAGGCUCAGUGGUUGGAAGUUGGCCAGGCUUUGGACACCACAGUGCUGGGAGAAAACUGUUCUUCUGCAGAUAAUGGCACCAUUUUUUUUCCUUUAAUUGGGAAUGACAUUUGUUCCCUAACCACAGCUUUCCCUGCAGAGGUAGGAUUUAAUCCCACAGUUUGCCUGCCCCAGAGGGACAGUUUAAUCCUCAUGAGCCCUGCAGUCACACUGCCUGGGGGAGUGUGUAGGUUUCGUGGUGCAGACCCAAGCAUGAUGCUCCCUGACAGGCAGCUGUAAAUCUCCCAAAGUACACAGCUGGUUAACCUCAUCCAUAUGUUGAGAUCCACCAAGAAAACACUGCCCUCUGGCAGAUGAGCGACCGCGCUAUUUAAUAAAUCAGCAUCGCAAACUCACAGUGGGUUCACCUGAGCAGGGUGGGGGCUCACCUUACACACACGCCAUGCAUUGGUGCCCAAGCAGAAGAAAAUCCAAGCUGCUAAGCUCUCAGUAUGAUCUCCAGGUGCUCUGCACACACACACCACGCUCUCGUAUCGCCACAACCUCUCUUAAACAUAGACAGGCUUCCUCUGGCUUUGUGGGCGAAGGGUGUGCAGCCUCCCUCCAGCACCUGCAGCCGAAGGCGUGACUUGGCAGCAGGUGACACUGCCUCUCCCUGCCUGUAACCACAGCCCUGUGCUUGCAGGGCAAUCCAAGCAGUGCCCGUGGCACCGGGUGCUCCCACCGCCCCGGCAAAGAUGGUGGAAGGAGUGCUCGCCAAACUCUUCCCCAAACGGCCAUCUGCUCGCUUCGUGCAGAAAUAUCAGCCCCUUGGGAGCACCGAGCCAGAAGAGGAGAGCCAGGAGUGUGAGCUGAAAGUUAUUGAACAGGAGAAGGAAGUGACAGUCCUGCUACCAAAAGAUGCUUGUAAAUGCCAUAAAGAAGACUUGGCUAAAGCCUUAAACGUUGAUUUACAGACUGGCCUCUCUGAGUUUUCUGUGCUGCAGCGAAGGUUAAAACAUGGCUGGAAUGAAUUUUCAGUAGAUGCCACAGAGCCUAUAUGGAAGAAAUACCUGGACCAGUUUAAAAAUCCCCUCAUUCUCCUGUUGCUGGCUUCUGCUUUGGUAAGCGUCAUCACUAAGGAGUACGAGGAUGCUGCGAGCAUCACCAUGGCUGUGCUCAUCGUGGUCACCGUGGCCUUCAUCCAGGAGUAUCGUUCUGAAAAGUCUCUGGAAGAGCUGAACAAGUUGGUUCCUCCUGAGUGCAACUGCCUGAGGGAAGGAAAACUGCAGCAUCUUCUAGCAAGAGAGCUUGUGCCUGGAGAUAUCAUAUAUCUUUCUGUUGGUGAUAGGGUACCUGCAGACCUCAGGCUAAUAGAGGUUACAGAUCUGUUGGUGGAUGAAUCCAGUUUUACAGGAGAAGCUGAGCCUUGCAACAAGACUGAUGGUGUGUUACUAGAAGCUGGAGACAUAACCACUCUGAGCAAUGUUGUUUUCAUGGGGACCCUGGUGCGAUAUGGGAAGGGAAAAGGUGUAGUUAUUGGGACAGGUGAAAAUUCACAGUUUGGAGAGGUGUUCAAAAUGAUGCAAGCUGAAGAGACUCCCAAAACACCUCUCCAAAAAAGCAUGGACAGACUGGGGAAGCAACUCACCCUUUUCUCCUUUGGCAUAAUUGGUUUAAUAAUGCUCAUUGGCUGGUUACAAGGAAAGCAUCUUCUCAGCAUGUUCACCAUUGGAGUUAGCCUGGCAGUGGCUGCCAUCCCAGAGGGCCUUCCCAUCGUGGUCACUGUGACACUGGUGCUGGGUGUUCUUCGUAUGGCCAAGAAAAGAGUGAUUGUGAAGAAGCUGCCCAUCGUAGAAACCUUAGGCUGCUGCAAUGUCAUCUGCUCAGACAAGACGGGCACUCUGACUGCCAAUGAGAUGACAGUGACUCGACUUGUGACCUCAGAUGGCUUCCAGGCAGAGGUCAGUGGGGUGGGCUACAAUGGAGAAGGAAAUGUUUUUCUUCUGCCAUCAAAGGAAAUACUUAAAGAAUUUUCCAACGUCUCAGUUGGGAAACUAGUGGAGGCUGGCUGCGUGGUCAAUAAUGCCAUUAUCAGGAAAAACAGUGUGAUAGGACAGCCCACAGAAGGAGCUCUUCUUGCUCUCGCAAUGAAGAUGGAAUUAGCUGACAUAAAAGAUAUUUAUGCAAGAAAGAAGGAAAUUCCAUUUAGCUCUGAACAAAAGUGGAUGGCUGUGAAAUGCACACUGAAAAAUCAGGAUCAGGAAGAUAUUUACUUCAUGAAAGGGGCAUUUGAAGAAGUGAUUCGACAUUGCACUAUGUAUAACAGCAGUGGCAUCUCAUUAAUGCUCACACCUCAGCAGAAAGCCUCCUACCAGCAGGAAGAGAAAAGAAUGGGCUCCUCAGGUCUACGAGUACUCGCUUUGGCUUCAGGUUCAGAACUUGGCAAACUGACCUUUUUGGGCCUGGUUGGAAUAAUUGAUCCCCCCAGGGCUGGAGUGAAAGAAGCUGUGCAGGUCCUUGUUGAGUCUGGUGUCUCAGUAAAGAUGAUAACUGGAGAUGCCCUGGAAACUGCUGUGGCUAUAGGGCAGAAUAUUGGUCUCUGCAAUGGAAAACUGAAAGCCAUGUCCGGGGAAGAGCUGGAUCAAGUGGCAGAGUCAGAACUCUCAUCAACUGUCAAAAAUAUUUCCAUUUUCUUUAGAACAAGUCCAAAGCACAAGCUAAAAAUCAUAAAGGCUCUGCAGAGAGCUGGUGCCGUUGUGUCAAUGACAGGAGAUGGUGUUAACGAUGCUGUGGCUCUGAAAUCUGCCGAUAUUGGGAUUGCCAUGGGGCAGGCGGGUACAGAUGUCAGCAAAGAGGCUGCCAACAUGAUCCUUGUGGACGAUGACUUCUCAACAGUAAUGAAUGCAAUAGAAGAGGGAAAAGGAAUAUUUUACAACAUAAAAAACUUUGUCCGGUUCCAGCUGAGCACGAGCAUUUCAGCUUUGAGCUUAAUUACUCUGUCAACAGUGCUCAACCUACCUAAUCCCCUCAAUGCCAUGCAGAUCUUAUGGAUCAACAUCAUCAUGGAUGGGCCCCCAGCCCAAAGCUUGGGAGUUGAACCUGUUGAUAAGGAUACAAUCAAACAGCCACCCCGAUGUAUUACGGACACUAUACUCAGCAAAUCACUGAUCCUGAAAAUCUUCAUGUCAGCUCUAAUUAUCAUUAGUGGAACCCUCUUUGUCUUCUGGAAGGAGAAUCCUAAAGGUGGCAUAACCCCCCGGACCACAACCAUGACUUUCACGUGUUUUGUGUUUUUCGACCUCUUCAAUGCUCUGACGUGUCGCUCUCAGACAAAGCUGAUACUGGAAAUAGGCUUUUUUCGAAACCGCAUGUUCUUGUAUUCUGUGCUCGGGUCAUUUCUGGGACAGCUGGCUGUUAUAUACGUCCCUCCAUUACAGAAGAUCUUCCAGACAGAGAACUUAGGAGUGCUAGACUUGCUCUUUCUUACUGGACUGGCUUCCUCAGUUUUCAUCGUGUCUGAGUUGGUCAAACUCUGUGAAAAACACUGCUGCCACCAGAAGCACACCAAGGAAUGCAGUAACUGAUGCCCAGAGAUGCCCAGAGCAGAGCUGUGAUGCUGGGGAACUCAAUGCAUUGGUCUAACAAUAGCAUCUUUUCCAAAGACACCCCAGUGAAUCUGUACCAAACAUUUCUUCCCACUCCAGUCUGUUCCUUUUGUGCACUGUACAUAAGCUAUGUGAGCUGUCUACAGACAUCUCUGGAAUGACUCCUGUUUUAAAGCAAGAUCAGAACAGUUCCUGAGAGAGCAGUGUGCCAAAUACCCCUGCUCCAGUUGGCCAUGUGCUGCCAAGGGCUGUUGGCUGGGUUCAGCAUCCAGGAGAGCUUCCCUCCCGUCGGAGCACAGCCACCUGUAAUGCAGCUCCAGGUGCUGUAGGAACUCCUUUGGUUCUUCACACUGGCUCUCCCCCACCACGGCGUCCCAUCAAGCCUGGCCCCAAGGGAGAAGGUGCUUGGGAUGAGAAGGAAACGACAACUGCCCAUGAGCCCUGUUCUCAAUCCAGUGGUCCAGACAAAGGGUGGCUGCACAGAUGGAGGCACCAAAACCUGGUCUCACCCUCUGCAAGCGCUGCACUUGACUUGUGAGUGAAGGAAGAUCCUUUUGGGUGCUCAGCCAGGAGCCUGGGACCUGAGCCUGCCUGCUUUUCCUGGCCUGCAGUGAUUGUGCUCCAGAGAAGGUUGGGGAAUAACCAAUAACCCCUGGCCCCUCAUCUGCCAAGCAGCAGCCCUGCAUGAGAAAAGAGCGAAAGGAAGGGAACCCAGCUGCUGUAAGGGCUGAGCUGCACAUCAAAGUCUAAUGGGCCACCUCAACCCCACUGAUGCCUUUCACUCAGCUCUUCCCAUUACCAUGCUUAUGCCUAAAACGUGUGCAAAUUCCUUUUUGUAAAAACACUCCAGCAGUGGGGCCAGCUUGCCACUUUGCUGAUAUAAAUCAAAGUUUCCAUAAACUCUGUCUAUUUUAAUACCUUGUUUUUUAAAGGUUUGUCACAUGCAAGCAAGGCAAGAAAACAAAACUGGCCAUGUUCCAAAGUGUAAUGCAUGCCUCCAUUAGUUGUUCUUUGCAUCCAACCCAGUCCGGCCAGCAACUGCUCCCUGCCAAAGCCCCUCCUCCUGCUUAUCCACUCGAUGUAAAGUAUUCCCAUGCUAUGGCAGAGACAAUGAGAACCAUUCCUAUAGAGGGUACCAGUCCAGACAAAACAUCAAAAGUCAGUCCAGGCAAAAUAAAGAUAUGAGCUCCUGAAAAAUGAGGGGAAAUAAAUGGGGAAGGUCCCUCUGCAAGCCUCAGAUGUCCAGGGACUUGGAUACACUCGGUUAUCUCAGCCACAGGAGGAGACAUAGAACACAGCACUGAUGCUGGUGCUGUUGACCUUCCAGGAAAACAAUGCUGAGAUAACAUUGGGCUGAACUUCAGAAGCACUGAGCCCUGGGUCCCCCCGCAUGCUGGCUGCUCUUUUUUAUCCUAAUAUUGCACAUGAAGAGCUAGGUGGGAAGGAGUUUUUGCCACAUACGUCAUCAGCUCUUCUGACAUCAUCUAAAGGAUGAUUUUGGCUUUGAGAAUCUUCCCUGCAGAGCUCCCAAGAACAGCUGGAAUUGAGUAGCUGUAAUAAUCCUGGUGAGAACCCGCUGCAAACGUCAGAGCAGAGCAUUCUGAACCCUUCUGAUCACCAACUGCAAUGCAAAGGCUACAACAUAUUUUCUCCUUUGAUAUUUUUUAACUGACCAAACCCUGCCCACAUUUAAGUCGCUGGAAAUCCUUCUUUCUGACCCAGUGAAUGCAGCCAAGCCCCGGGGCAGGGAAGACCCAUGGAAUAGGCAGUGGCAUUUCUAUGGACGUGGGGCUUUGCCUUCAGUGCCACAGGGCUCUGCACACCUGGAGGAGGGAGAGAUUGUUCAGCACCCAACUCCUCUGCAGUACAAAUAUAACAUAAAAACACAGACCUUACACUUGCUCUAUAACUAGAGGAGGGAGGAAGCUUUGCCGGCAGCAGAGCAGCAUUAUCUACAGUUCAUUACAAAUGCUUCAUACCAGUGUUGUUAAACAGCAGCCCCGCCGGGGGAGAAGCUGUCCCACAUCCCCCAGAAGUUAUUUGGAGCAAAGUCAAAGCUUUGUAAAAGGCGUCGAAAGUUGCGAUCAGGUGAAGUUAAAUAUCUGUUUAUCUUUGGCUUUCCCUGGGCUUUGUUGAUAAUCCACAUCCGACAGUGGAACGAUCAGCUGCCACGUCUCAACCCGGAGCCCCACGGGUGGGUCGUGCUGUGCCACAGCCUCCUGUUCCCAGCGCAUUGUUUGGGGCAGAACCGCAGCUCAGAUUUCACCUUCUGAAAAAAUCUGAGCAAGCCUUCUACACGAGGUUACAUUAGCACCAUUUAUUGCAAAACAAGCUGUCUGAGUUCAUUUUUAGGCACCAAAACGGAACGCUUCUUUGCUCGUCGGCAAGAGGUCACUCUUUGAAAACGCGGCGCCAAACAAUGGGACUCCUGCUAAUCGAACCUUUUGUCUUGGUGAUGGUGGAGAAGCAAUGAGAAAUUGUGCAAAAGGGUGGAAAAAGCCCCAAGGAUCUUAAGUCCGGGGGUGAAACAAAGGAGUGGUUGGACUACGGACUGCAGGGAGUUGUGCUUCAUGGCAGCAGGAAACCCAACCGUGCAGGACAGGGGAAGCAGCACCAAUUGCAAUUCCCUCAAGUUUUCUCCCAUCUCUCCCCCUGUAUGUGCCAAAGGCAUCGGGAAGGAGCUUACCUGUGCACUUCCUCUUAAAGGUUUCAUAGUCUACCCCUUGGUCUCCGGGGACGAUCGUAGAGCCGUUGUAUUUAAACGUCACCCUUUGGGAAGGGGAAAAGAGAAGGGAGACGGGAUUUAAAAGUCAGUCUUAUGGAAGGCAAAGGAGGAGAAGGGGAGGAACGCAUUCCAAAAAACAUCCCGGGGAAAGGGGGAAGAGGAGCCGGGGA
This is an RNA transcript of Centrocercus urophasianus (Greater sage-grouse), 7749 nucleotides long. It is a transcript of the gene named ATPase secretory pathway Ca2+ transporting 2, with no coding region annotated. Lineage: Eukaryota; Metazoa; Chordata; Aves; Galliformes; Phasianidae. The record is from RefSeq and is a predicted model, not a curated record. The transcript has 30 exons.